RNAcentral lists this ribosomal RNA (473 nucleotides) under Staphylococcus aureus. RNAcentral's name for it is "partial 23S ribosomal RNA". It matches the Rfam family "Bacterial large subunit ribosomal RNA", at positions 1487 to 1957 of the family's 2925-position model. Lineage: Bacteria; Bacillati; Bacillota; Bacilli; Caryophanales; Staphylococcaceae. The record is from RNAcentral.
CGAAGCGUGCGAUUGGAUUGCACGUCUAAGCAGUAAGGCUGAGUAUUAGGCAAAUCCGGUACUCAUUAAGGCUGAGCUGUGAUGGGGAGAAGACAUUGUGUCUUCGAGUCGUUGAUUUCACACUGCCGAGAAAAGCCUCUAGAUAGAAAAUAGGUGCCCGUACCGCAAACCGACACAGGUAGUCAAGAUGAGAAUUCUAAGGUGAGCGAGCGAACUCUCGUUAAGGAACUCGGCAAAAUGACCCCGUAACUUCGGGAGAAGGGGUGCUCUUUAGGGUUAACGCCCAGAAGAGCCGCAGUGAAUAGGCCCAAGCGACUGUUUAUCAAAAACACAGGUCUCUGCUAAACCGUAAGGUGAUGUAUAGGGGCUGACGCCUGCCCGGUGCUGGAAGGUUAAGAGGAGUGGUUAGCUUCUGCGAAGCUACGAAUCGAAGCCCCAGUAAACGGCGGCCGUAACUAUAACGGUCCUAAGGU